GAUUAACGCUAGCGGCAGGCAUAAUACAUGCAAGUUGAACGGCAGCACAGGUAGCAAUACUGGGUGGCGAGUGGCGCACGGGUGCGUAACACGUAUGCAACCUACCCUAUACAGGCGAAUAACCUUUAGAAAUGAGGGCUAAUACGCCGUAGUAUUACAGAUGGGCAUCUAUUUGUAAUUAAAGAUUUAUCGGUAUAGGAUGGGCAUGCAUCCCAUUAGUUAGUUGGUAAGGUAACGGCUUACCAAGACGAUGAUGGGUAGGGGAUCUGAGAGGACUUACCCCCACACUGGUACUGAGACACGGACCAGACUCCUACGGGAGGCAGCAGUAAGGAAUAUUGGGCAAUGGCCGCGAGGCUGACCCAGCCAUGCCGCGUGCAGGAAGACGGCCUUAUGGGUUGUAAACUGCUUUUAUACGGGAAUAAUAGAGUGUACGCGUACAUUUAUGCAAGUAUCGUAUGAAUAAGCAUCGGCUAACUCCGUG
This 484-nucleotide ribosomal RNA is filed under the name uncultured bacterium. RNAcentral describes it as "partial 16S ribosomal RNA". It matches the Rfam family "Bacterial small subunit ribosomal RNA", at positions 28 to 507 of the family's 1533-position model. The record is from RNAcentral.